GACCGUGUAGCGUAGUGGUCUAACGCGUUUGCCUUACAUCCGAAAAACUCGAUUGUUCGCAAAAGAUCGCAGGUUCGACCCCUGCCACGGUCA
Molecule: non-coding RNA, 93 nt
Organism: Mariannaea sp. PMI_226
Lineage: Eukaryota; Fungi; Ascomycota; Sordariomycetes; Hypocreales; Nectriaceae
Source: the annotation of a GenBank genome assembly